RNAcentral lists this ribosomal RNA (253 nucleotides) under uncultured bacterium. RNAcentral describes it as "partial 16S ribosomal RNA". It matches the Rfam family "Bacterial small subunit ribosomal RNA", at positions 524 to 776 of the family's 1533-position model. The record is from RNAcentral.
UACGUAGGGUGCGAGCGUUAAUCGGAAUUACUGGGCGUAAAGCGUGCGCAGGCGGCGCGUUAAGACAGGUGUGAAAGCCCCGAGUUUAACUUGGGAAUUGCGCUUGUGACUGGCGUGCUGGAGUGUGGCAGAGGGAGGUGGAAUUCCACGUGUAGCAGUGAAAUGCGUAGAGAUGUGGAGGAACACCGAUGGCGAAGGCAGCCUCCUGGGCCAGCACUGACGCUGAGGCGCGAAAGCUAGGGUAGCAAACGGG